This 164-nucleotide ribosomal RNA is filed under the name uncultured bacterium. RNAcentral describes it as "partial 16S rRNA". It matches the Rfam family "Bacterial small subunit ribosomal RNA", at positions 355 to 511 of the family's 1533-position model. The record is from RNAcentral.
UAGGGAAUCUUCCACAAUGGGCGAAAGCCUGAUGGAGCAACACCGCGUGAGUGAAGAAGGGUUUCGGCUCGUAAAACUCUGUUGUUAAAGAAGAACACGUAUGAGAGUAACUGUUCAUACGUUGACGGUAUUUAACCAGAAAGUCACGGCUAACUACGUGCCAG